CAAAAGUUUAAGACUCAUUUAUUUCACUUUUAAUGAUAAAAGUAAACUUUGCAUUUAAAAAGUUAACAUCCUAAAGAAAUUAUAUUAAAAAUAUAAAAUUUUAAUUCUUCACUUACUUCGAAGGCAGUCAGGGAAACGUUUGCUGGUGGUCAGUUCAGGACCUGCAGGGUUUGAGUACGGGCCUCCGGAUCUCUUCUAGGGAGUUCCCUGAAACUUUGUUUUUGUAUUAUUGACUGAAAGAUUAUUGGCCUUAGAACUAUUUCUGCUGUUUGGGGAUAUAUGAGGUAUCUUAAAAGCCAAAAAAUUGACCAAAAUAUACAUGUAUAACAUUUUUCCUAAUGUAAUGUAUGAUGCCACAGUAUUAGAGCAGGAUUAUCAUUUUUUUUAAUCAAACUUAAACUAGUAGUUAUAGUUUCAAUGCAAUUUAUAUUAUUCCAGUGAUUCUAUACCUUGAUAUGCUUUAUAUAGAAAAAUGUGCUUUAAAGCCCACUUAAUCUGAACUAAAAUGCUUCAUAAAGUUAUCAGCUGCUCUUUGAUUCCUCUUUUAGAUACUUUUAGUUAUUGCUGUGAACAUUUAAAAGAAUAAUUUAUUUAAAGUAAUAGAACUUGAAAUUAUCCCGAUCCACAUUCUCCUCACAUUUAUUUAGCUCCAUGUGUCAUUGGACAUGAGCCUUGUGUCAGUCAGCCUCCGCGGCAGAUGGAGUAGAUGCCAGUUCAGGGCAGGGGUCCUGUGUGCGGGGUCCUGCAUGCAGGGGGACGGCUGUGUGAGGGCGUUUGCUAUGCACCAGCCUGUUGUGAGAUCCUUACUUGUCUUAGUGCUCCUGUAGUAUUAGUGCUUCUUGUUGUAUAAUUGCCAAAUACACAUUCAAUGCAGUUUGUAUUUGUGGUGCUUUUAUCCAUUGUUUAUAACAUUUAGGAAUAUCUGGAGCAGGACUCACCAAGCCUGCAGCUCCAUCUUCCCACAGGGAAAUCUGCAUGGCUACCCAAGAAGUCUGAGGACCCCACAGAAACUGAUGCCUGUGUUCAGGUUCCAAAUGGAAUUCCAGAAACAAGCCUGGAUACCCACUGUGGCUCCAUCCAGUUUCCUCACCACAGAAAGAUGGGCCAAAAACAGAAAAAAAGAAGAUGCAAAUGUCACCAAGUCCAAACUCACUCUGCUCUCUGCAUAACAGGCCAGUAAAUUAGGAGACAGUUUCUUGGGGCAAAGAGUAGCUACUUUAUUUAGAAAGCCAUUUAGAAAGCCAUUCAGAAAGCCAGCAGACCAAGAAGAUAACAGACUAAGGUCCUGGAGAACCAUCUUCCCCAAGUCAGAAUUCAGGCUCUUUUCCUACUUGCUUGGUUGUUGCAAACUUUUUGGGGUAAGAAUUCUUUGUUCUUGGAAUCCUGUGUUCUUGCAGCUGUGCAUGUAGGUCAGAUCAUGGUGCCCCUGUAAACCUCCAGCAAAAUAAAUGUUAUUUUAUAUUC
This 1464-nucleotide long non-coding RNA is filed under the name Camelus dromedarius (Arabian camel). RNAcentral describes it as "lncRNA (ENSCDRG00005006103.1)". The record is from RNAcentral. Lineage: Eukaryota; Metazoa; Chordata; Mammalia; Artiodactyla; Camelidae.